Molecule: ribosomal RNA, 1418 nt
Filed under: metagenome
Description: bacterial SSU rRNA
Rfam family: Bacterial small subunit ribosomal RNA
Source: RNAcentral
GGUGAGUAACGCGUGGGUAACCUGCCCCUGAGUUGGGGACAACUCGUUGAAAAGUGGGCUAAUACCGGAUACGGUAUCCUGGGGCAUCUCAGGAAUAUUAAAGGUGGGGAUUCUUCGGAACCUGCCGCUCGGGGAGGGGCCCGCGUCCCAUCAGUUUGUUGGUAGGGUAAUGGCCUACCAAGACGUACGGGUAGCCGGCCUGAGAGGGUGAUCGGCCACGCUGGGACUGAGACACUGCCCAGACUCCUACGGGAGGCUGCAGUCGAGGAUCAUUCGCAAUGCGCGAAAGCGUGACGAUGCGACGCUGCGUGGAGGAUGACGGCCUUCGGGUUGUAAACUCCUGUCAUGAGGGAAAAGACGACGGUGAGUUAAUAACUCUUCGUCCCGAUGGUACCUCAAGAGGAAGCCACGGCUAACUCUGUGCCAGCAGCCGCGGUAUACAGAGGUGGCGAGCGUUGUUCGGAUUUACUGGGCGUAAGGAGUACGUAGGUGGUAUCGUAUGUCGGAUGUGAAAUCCCACAGCUCAACUGUGGAACUGCAUCCGAAACUGCGGAACUUGAGUACAGGAGGGGAGAGCGGAAUUCUUGGUGUAGCGGUGAAAUACGUUGAUAUCAAGAAGAACACCGGCGGCGAAGACGGCUCUCUGGAAUGUUACUGACACUGAGGUACGAAAGCUGGGGGAGCAAACAGGAUUAGAUACCCUGGUAGUCCCAGCCGUAAACGGUGCACACUUGGUGUGGGGGGUAUUGACCCCCCCCGUGCCGGAGCUAACGCGUUAAGUGUGCCGCCUGGGGAGUACGGCCGCAAGGCUAAAACUCAAAGAAAUUGACGGGGGCCCGCACAAGCGGAGGAGCAUGUGGCUUAAUUCGAUGCAACGCGAAGAACCUUACCUGGGCUUGACAUGUCGACUCUUCGGAGGUGAGGGCGAAAGCUCUCUCUGCGAACACAGGUGCUGCAUGGCUGUCGUCAGUUCGUGCCGUGAGGUGUUGGGUUAAGUCCCGCAACGAACGCAACCCUUGUGGUUAGUUGCCACCGGAGGUGAUGAGCCUUCGAGCACUCUAGCCAGACUGCCCGUACAAGCGGGAGGAAGGUGGGGAUGACGUCAAGUCAGUAUGGCCCUUACGCCCAGGGCUGCACACGUGCUACAAUGGUCGGUACAAUGGGAGGCAAGACCGCGAGGUGGAGCAAAUCCUCAAAACCGGCCUAAGUUCGGAUUGGAGUCUGAAACUCGACUCCAUGAAGUCGGAUUCGCUAGUAACGGCGUAUCAGCUACGACGCCGUGUAUACGUUCCCGGGCCUUGUACACACCGCCCGUCACAUCAUGAAAGCCGUCUGCACCCGAAGUCGCUGAGCUAACCCGCAAGGGAGGCAGGUGCCGAAGGUGUGAGUGGUGAUUGGGAUGAAGUCGUAACAAGGUA